RNAcentral lists this ribosomal RNA (459 nucleotides) under uncultured bacterium. RNAcentral describes it as "partial 16S ribosomal RNA". It matches the Rfam family "Bacterial small subunit ribosomal RNA", at positions 338 to 795 of the family's 1533-position model. The record is from RNAcentral.
CCUACGGGUGGCAGCAGUGAGGAAUAUUGGUCAAUGGCCGCAGGGCUGAACCAGCCAAGUCGCGUGAGGGAUGACGGUCCUCUGGAUUGUAAAUCUCUUUUGUCAGGGAGCAAAGGACGCCACGUGUGGCGUUUUGCGAGUACCUGAAGACAAAGCAUCGGCUCACUCCGUGCCAGCAGCCGCGGUCAUACGGAGGAUGCGAGCGUUGUCCGGAUUUAUUGGGUUUAAGGGGUGCGCAGGCGGAAUGUCAAGUCAGCGGUAAAAUUUCGGGGCUAAACCCCGUCGUGCCGUUGAAACUGGCGUUCUUGAGUGAGCGAGAAGUAUGCGGAAUGCGUGGUGUAGCGGUGAAAUGCAUAGAUAUCACGAAGAACUCCGAUGGCGAAGGCAGCAUACCGGCGCGCAACUGACGCUCAGGCACGAAAGCGUGGGUAUCGAACAGGAUUAGAUACCCCAGUAGUC